Molecule: long non-coding RNA, 257 nt
Filed under: Carica papaya (papaya)
Lineage: Eukaryota; Viridiplantae; Streptophyta; Magnoliopsida; Brassicales; Caricaceae
Description: long non-coding RNA (CPAP_LNC015860)
Source: RNAcentral
UAAAUAACUUUGGAGGUUAUGUAGGCUUUGGAAACCAACUUUUUGCUAUAUAUUUUUGUUGCACCAGUUAAGAAGAUUGAGUUUAAUUGAAGAACAAUUGAAUUGUGAUGGGAGGAUAAAUGACAUAUGGUUGAGUAUUUUAUAUAGGUCGUGAAAAAUGAAAAUAUUAUUAUGCUACAAUUUAUAAAAUCUUUGAACUUAAAUUAAAAAUAUAUAGCUAUUUGCAAAGUGGUUUUAUUUUUUGAAAUCUUGAACUU